GGUGAAAAGCACCCCGGAAGGGGAGUGAAAUAGAACCUGAAACCGUGUGCUUACAAGUAGUCAGAGCCCGUUAAUGGGUGAUGGCGUGCCUUUUGUAGAAUGAACCGGCGAGUUACGAUUUGAUGCAAGGUUAAGCAGUAAAUGUGGAGCCGUAGCGAAAGCGAGUCUGAAUAGGGCGUUUAGUAUUUGGUCGUAGACCCGAAACCAGGUGAUCUACCCUUGGUCAGGUUGAAGUUCAGGUAACACUGAAUGGAGGACCGAACCGACUUACGUUGAAAAGUGAGCGGAUGAACUGAGGGUAGCGGAGAAAUUCCAAUCGAACCUGGAGAUAGCUGGUUCUCUCCGAAAUAGCUUUAGGGCUAGCCUCAAGUGAUGAUUAUUGGAGGUAGAGCACUGUUUGGACGAGGGGCCCCUCUCGGGUUACCGAAUUCAGACAAACUCCGAAUGCCAAUUAAUUUAACUUGGGAGUCAGAACAUGGGUGAUAAGGUCCGUGUUCGAAAGGGAAACAGCCCAGACCACCAGCUAAGGUCCCAAAAUAUAUGUUAAGUGGAAAAGGAUGUGGCGUUGCCCAGACAACUAGGAUGUUGGCUUAGAAGCAGCCAUCAUUUAAAGAGUGCGUAAUAGCUCACUAGUCGAGUGACACUGCGCCGAAAAUGUACCGGGGCUAAACAUAUUACCGAAGCUGUGGAUUGUCCUUUGGACAAUGGUAGGAGAGCGUU
This 720-nucleotide ribosomal RNA is filed under the name Staphylococcus aureus. RNAcentral describes it as "partial 23S ribosomal RNA". It matches the Rfam family "Bacterial large subunit ribosomal RNA", at positions 513 to 1240 of the family's 2925-position model. The record is from RNAcentral. Lineage: Bacteria; Bacillati; Bacillota; Bacilli; Caryophanales; Staphylococcaceae.